Molecule: ribosomal RNA, 491 nt
Filed under: uncultured bacterium
Lineage: Bacteria
Description: partial 16S ribosomal RNA
Rfam family: Bacterial small subunit ribosomal RNA
Source: RNAcentral
AGUGAACGCUGGCGGUAGGCCUAACACAUGCAAGUCGAACGGCAGCACAGUAAGAGCUUGCUCUUACGGGUGGCGAGUGGCGGACGGGUGAGGAAUACAUCGGAAUCUACUUUUUCGUGGGGGAUAACGUAGGGAAACUUACGCUAAUACCGCAUACGACCUACGGGUGAAAGCAGGAGAUCUUCGGACCUUGCGCGAUUGUAUGAGCCGAUGUCGGGUUAGCUAGUUGGAGGGGUAAAGGCCCACCAAGGCGACGUUCCGUAGCUGGUCUGAGAGGAUGAUCGGCAACACGGGACCGAGGAAACGUCCAGACCCCCAAGGGGAGGCAGAGGAGGGAAAUAUUCGACAAGGGCGGAAGGCCGACGCAAGCAAGACGCGGUAGGGGAAGAAGGCUUCCGGGUGGUAAAGUCUUUUAGUAGGGAAAGAAAAGCGGCAGGGUAAUUCUGCGCGGUUCUGACGGUACCCAAAGAAUAAGCACCGGCUAACUUCGU